GAAACCCCAUCUCUGCUAAAAUACAAAAAUUAGCCAGGCGUGGUGGCGGGUGCCUGUAAUCCCAGCUACUUGGGAGGCUAAUACAAGAGAAUCUCUUGAACCCAGGAGGCAGAGGUUGCAGUGAGCUGAGAUCGUGCAACCGCACUCCAGCCUGGGUGACAGAGCCAGACUCCAUCUCAAAAAAAGGAAAAAGAAAUACCCAGAAUGUUACAUGUGCACUCAAGCACUGAAUUGAAUGAAGUACUGGUUUUGGUGGUAACUACAGCUUUCCAUUGCUUAAAACCCUUUCAGGCUGGACGUGGUGGCUCAUGCCCAUAAUCCCAAUGCUUUGGGAGGCUGAGGUGAGAGGAUCAUCUGAUCCAGGAGUUCAAGACCAGCUGGGGCAACGUAGCAAGACCCCAUCUCCACAAACUUACAAAAAAUUAGCUAAGUAUGGUGGUGCAUGCCUGUAGUCCCAGUUACUCCAGAGGCUAAGGCAAGAGGGUUGCUUGAGCCUGGGAGGUUGAGGUUGUAGUGAGCUAUGAUCAUGCCACUGAACUCCAGCCUGUGUGACAGAGCGAGGCCCUGUCUCAAUCAAUCAAUCAAUCAAUCAAUCAAUCAAUCCUUUCAAAAUAUCUUAUUGCUGUUUAGUUUCCAUUUUCCAGGUUUUUAAUGAGGCUAAGGAGCUUUUCAAAGGUUCACUCUUCCUGCCUAGCCAUUUGGGCUGUGUAGUUCAAGAGGAUCUGUAGCAUCUUUUUACAAAGAAGAAGGUUAAGGCGUUAGGGGAGGAGCAGGGAGAACAGGAGGAAGGAGCUCCCAGGCCCUGUUUUCAGCCCUUCCUUCCCCUCCUCUUUUCUUUUUUGAGGCCUGCUCCAUUCUCUUAGGGCCUGACCCUGACCUGCCAACCCCAGAUAAGGUGUUGUGACUAGGCCCUCCUUCCCCCAGGGUUCCCCCUGGAGAGACCCAAGGCAAUGGAUGGAGGAGCAUUGGCCCCACCCCAUCUCCUCACCCCACUUAAGGGAACAGCAUCUGAGGACAGGUGGCAGCAGGUAGUGUGGCCCCACCUCACUUCACAUUGCAGGGAGCUCUGUCACUUUGCUCCUUUGUUGCAAAUGCCAUUGGAAAGGCCAGUGCUGUGCUGCCUAGUGAGGUCUUCAAGGUGUUGGCCGGAUGCUUGAAGAAAGUGGAAGCCAUGGAAGGUUGUAUUCAGGAGAGGGGCAUGGCCCCUUCUGAGCAUGUUUCCACUGGUGGGAGGCCAUAGAGAGAAUGAUAAGGAAGGAGAAUGAGGCCACGUGGAUGACAGCUAACCCCUGCUGAGAGCCCAUUCUGAGCCGUGCACUGUAUGCCAUUUACUGGCAAAAGAGCAUGAGUAGGUGGUCAAGGUCGCCCAGCUGACAAGUGACAAAGUCAGAGCCAUCACAUUUCACCUGAGAUUCCUCCCCAGUUGUUUCAGGCAUGUUCGAUUUGUUUCCUAGCAAUAACUUUGCAAGGAUGGUCCUACUGUCCCCAUUCACAGAUGGGAAAACUGAGGGCAAAUGGUAGAGCCAAGUAAUGAAUGUGUUCUGCUUGGUCUUUACUUCUCAUGGAUACUCAAGGAAGGCAGCAGGUCUGGGCAAAGAAGGAAGGUGUUUCUUCACCAGAAGCAAAAUUUGUGUUGGAAAAGGGAUCUUAGAAAAGCCCCAGCCUCGACAUUCCUGAGCUCAGCCUCAGGGCUUUAUACAUACUUUGAUGAACACUUAAUAUGUUGCAAUUUUUCUGUUCUACCACAGGGUCAGCGCAUACAGUUGUAUAGGUUAUGCACUGCACAACUCAUGGAGUUCCAUGGCCUAAACCUGAGGGACCCAUCUUGCAGUCUCUGAGAUGGUGUGGAGUGGCGUCCACAGAUGAGGGCUUUGCUGACAAGUAGCGGGGUUUGAAUCUAGUCUUGGUUACUGGGUCGAGGAGCUUUUUCUAUUCUCCUUGAUCCCAUUUCCUCAUCUGUGAAGUGGAGAUGGUAUCAUCAUCUCUUCUCCCUCGGGGACUGUCAGGAUAGCAGGAGAGAACACACGGCAUAUGGCCCUUUACACAGGGCCUGGUACUAGUGGGGCCUUGGUAGAGUUCAGUUUCUCAUACUUCUGUCUCUCUGAGUGGACUUGAGGGCAGGCAGAGGCCCUGUCUAACUCAUUCCUGCAUCCCCAGCGCCCAGCGCUGUCCUUGCACGUGGGAGGGACUAGGCACCCAUUUGCUAAGGGACCAGAGAAAUCAUGCUGGAGGCAGAGAGGGGAUUUGGGGAACACUGGGGCAGCAGGCCCCAGUCCGGCAUCCCCACCCCACCUUUUCCCUCUUGGAGACAGCCUGGUCUGAGUUAUUUCCCUUCCCGACACUUCCCUGCCUCCAGGGCACAUUUUCUCCAGGUGAGUCCACCCAGGCAGAGGGCGAAGCCAGCAGGCACAGGCUGGAUUCCUGCAGAGGCGCGCAUUUCAUUUGGCCUGCACCAUGGCUUCACAUUUUUAAAAUUAGUUGCCGAUAUUUUACAAUUUGGAGAUUUCACCUAGAAACCUGGAUUUCCAGCUAUUCUUGAAAAAUCAAAAGAUCUAGCAGCCCUGGGCCUGCAGCUGGCAGCUGGUGUGCAGCAGCCACUGUUCCUUUGUGUUGGGUAUAUGCUGCUCAGUUUGCCACCAGAUCCACCUGGUCCAAGUCCCCCUCCCUUAUGACUCCUGCCCUUCCCCUGGUGAACCUGCAACCCCUGGCUCUAUGGAGCGCCCGGGCCAUCCCACUAACCUCACAGGUCUUGGUUUGGCAAAUCAUGACCGUGCCAGGGUCUUUGCCUGUGGAACGAGGAUCUGUGGGGGUGCCUUCCAAAUGUGCCAACCAAUGCUCACGACCAAGCCUUCAGUGUAACGAUCUGCCCACUUUCUCCUCCUCCCCCUGCCUCCGUGAGCCAGCGAAGCUGCUGCCCUGUUUGGGGACACAAACAUACACACGUUAUUAGAACCUCAGAUCAAAGGCGGCGUCCUACAGCCUGCCUCUCAAUGGUCCCUUUGUGCAGGCGGAAGCCUGCAAGAGAGUUAGAAUCCAGGGAGAACAGGAGGGGCUGGAGGGGGGCUCAAAACAAAGAUACUUGUCACCCUGAGAAGUCCGCAGAAAUGAUGUUAAAAGAGGCGCCAGGUGGAGGAUGUACCCCGGCUCGCUGCUGGAAGAUGCAAAUGGAGAAUUCUCAGUUCUGCAGAGGAGAAGAAAACACCCCUGUCCCUUGUGGUUUCAGAGGAAGGGGUGACAGUGGCUGCCCACCCCCUCCGCCAGCAGCAGCCUGCGUCUGCCUUCCUGGCCUCGCCAGGGGUGGAUGUGAUACUGGCAAGGGCUUCUUGGAACGAAAAGGUGACAGUGACCUUGUCUUGGGCACAGAGUCAGAAGAAACAAAAUGAUGUGGGGGGGGGGCCUGGGGAAGGCCAGGGGAAGCCGUGGGGGCAGCGUCACCUCUGGCCAGAUGGGCCUGUGUGUUCAGCCCUUCAGGCCUACAGCAAAGCAUUUCAAAAGCCCCUACUGUGUGCCAGCCACAGUGUGAUGCGAGGCAGGAGCAGAGAGGAUUAACUUGGGGUCAGGACCUCAGCGGAGGCAGAGAGGGCGACGCUGUUCUAACCAGGGCAUCAGAGAGAGCUAGCAUCUGCUGAGGUCCCCUCGGCUGGAUGCCCUACGCAUUUUACACACAUUGUCUCAUUUAUCUCUAGGGUUGGUUUGAACAAAGAAGUGCUUUGAGAGUUCAGAUGUGGAGCCAGGAACCCUGCCUGCCAUGGGAUGCAGGGAGAGGGGGUGGCGAGCAGCCCACAGCGACCCCAAGAAGCUGCUCCAACCCCUGGGACUAUGGAGCUCUACAGCUGUAGAGACCACCAGGAAGUGGACUGCAGGCCCCUGGCCUCUCCAUUCAGAUUCUGCAAAGAGAUCCUGAUGGGUUGGGCCAAUGGGUCAGGCAUCCAGUCAGCUCUGGCUAAGGGGUGAAGGAGUCAGGUGUUACCAACGUGGUGGCAGGGGCCACCUUGAAGCUGUGUUCUGUGCCAUGGAAGAAGGAAGAGGAGGAGGAAGCUAAGCUGGAAGGGAAGGCAGUCUAGGCUCCUGGAGUCAGUAGUUGGAAUCUCAGAUGGGAAGAAACCUUAAAAGUCAUCUGGUCCAGUAUUUUCCAAAGCAUGUUCCAUGAACUUGUUUUCCAGAAAUGGUUUCCUGGUCUGGUGAGUGGGAGUUCGAUGAGAGUGGCAGUUGUCUAUUUUGUUCACCGAUGUAUCUUAGGUGACUAAAACAAUGGUUGUCACAUGGCUGGCCCUUCAUAUUUGUUUCCAGAUGGAAGACUCUCUUUCUAGUGGUGGAACAUUAGUUUUGCACUGUGUUGGGACAACCUGAUGUAGUGAAAACAAGCCUGGGCAAUGAAAUCAACAGAUUGGAGUUCAGUUCCUAAUUGGGUCAUGGAUGAACUUUGUGACCUUGGGCAAGUGAGUUCACCUCUCUGAGUUGAAUAGGUUCCCUCCUUUCUAGAACAAGUAUGAGUCUGCAUCAGAGAGUGGUUGCGAGGGCUACACAUGAUGGAGGAUGAGGACUGGCACAUCAGAAGUACUGAAUGAAGAAUUGUAACAUAAAAAUGACAACAGUAAUAUAUUUUUGUGGUUUCAGCACUCUUCAAAUGAAACCACCUGGCCAACAGGAUUUUAGUGUACCUGCUUAUAACAUUAGCCUUCGUUUCCACCAAAAAGGGUGUUAAAAAAGGAAGCUUGGAACAUGAAAGUAAGACACUUGGAUGAAGAGAUUUAUGACUCUGGGGGGCUGUGAAUUCCUAAUGUCCUUUUGAGACAUGUAGAUCUUCCAGAGCGAUGCUGCCCAAUGCAGUAGCCACUAGCCAAGUGCAAAUGGUCACUUGCAAUAUGGCUAGUCUUUGAGAUGUGUUUUAAGUGUAAAAUACACACUGAAUUUUAAAGACUUAGCGCAAUACAAAGAAUGUAAAAUAUCUCAUUAUAUCUUGAAAUUAUACUAUUUUGGAUAUAUGGUGUUCCCUUGGUGUCUUUGGGGACUGGUUCCAGGAUCCUAGAGGAUACCCAAAUCCCCAGAUGUCAAGUCCGCUAUAUAAAAUGUCCUGUAGUAUUUGCAUAUAACCUACACACAUCCUUCUGAAUACUUUAAAUCAUCUCUAGAUUCCUUGUAAUUCCUAAUACAAUGUAAAUGUUAUGUAAAUAGUUGUUAUACUAUAUUAAAAAGUUUUUUAUUCUUU
Molecule: long non-coding RNA, 5209 nt
Filed under: Homo sapiens (human)
Lineage: Eukaryota; Metazoa; Chordata; Mammalia; Primates; Hominidae
Description: long non-coding RNA NONHSAT173003.1
Source: RNAcentral